Helianthus annuus (common sunflower) is the source of this 384-nucleotide long non-coding RNA. RefSeq lists it as uncharacterized. The transcript is spliced from 4 exons. NCBI's taxonomy places the organism in Eukaryota, Viridiplantae, Streptophyta, Magnoliopsida, Asterales, Asteraceae. The record is from RefSeq and is a predicted model, not a curated record.
AGCUGGGUGAAACAUACACUACUGCUGAAAAGGGGCAUCUUAAGGUUUGCUAAAGAGCUGUUGAAGUACUCGAAUAAAGAAACGAUCACUAGAAAAAGCCGGUUGGAAUUCGAUACUUUUCAUAUAGCCGCUUGAGUGGUUGUGCAUUGAUUCUCCACUCUAAUGAUGAUUUUAGUCAACUAUCUCGAGUUGUCGCGUGACUUUGUUUGCUGAUGUUCGAGUUGUCCAUUGGUUGCUACUGAACGAGCACUUAAGAUUAGCAAAUGCACCAAAGAAAGGGCGCCAACAAUGAUGAAAGGGAAAUGCAACUUUUGCCCAGCUGCGUGCUAGGGACACAUUGCAAUCGGGAGCGGUAGACAAAGAAGCCGCAUAGCACAAUGAUUU